RNAcentral lists this ribosomal RNA (1341 nucleotides) under uncultured bacterium. Its description in RNAcentral is "partial 16S ribosomal RNA". It matches the Rfam family "Bacterial small subunit ribosomal RNA", at positions 28 to 1381 of the family's 1533-position model. The record is from RNAcentral.
GACGAAUUUUGGCGGCGUGCUUAACACAUGCAAGUCGAACGGUAAGGCUCCAGCUUGCUGGGGUACACGAGUGGCGAACGGGUGAGUAACACGUGGGUGACCUGCCCUGCACUUCGGGAUAAGCCUGGGAAACUGGGUCUAAUACCGGAUAGGACCGCACCGUGAGGGUGUGGUGGAAAGUUUUUUCGGUGUGGGAUGGGCCCGCGGCCUAUCAGCUUGUUGGUGGGGUAAUGGCCUACCAAGGCGGCGACGGGUAGCCGGCCUGAGAGGGUGGACGGCCACAUUGGGACUGAGACACGGCCCAGACUCCUACGGGAGGCAGCAGUGGGGAAUAUUGCACAAUGGGCGGAAGCCUGAUGCAGCGACGCCGCGUGGGGGAUGACGGCCUUCGGGUUGUAAACUCCUUUCACCAUCGACGAAGGGUUUCUGACGGUAGAUGGAGAAGAAGCACCGGCUAACUACGUGCCAGCAGCCGCGGUAAUACGUAGGGUGCGAGCGUUGUCCGGAAUUACUGGGCGUAAAGAGCUCGUAGGUGGUUUGUCGCGUCGUCUGUGAAAUUCCGGGGCUUAACUCCGGGCGUGCAGGCGAUACGGGCAUAACUUGAGUACUGUAGGGGAGACUGGAAUUCCUGGUGUAGCGGUGAAAUGCGCAGAUAUCAGGAGGAACACCGGUGGCGAAGGCGGGUCUCUGGGCAGUAACUGACGCUGAGGAGCGAAAGCAUGGGGAGCGAACAGGAUUAGAUACCCUGGUAGUCCAUGCCGUAAACGGUGGGCGCUAGGUGUGGGUUUCCUUCCACGGGAUCCGUGCCGUAGCUAACGCAUUAAGCGCCCCGCCUGGGGAGUACGGCCGCAAGGCUAAAACUCAAAGGAAUUGACGGGGGCCCGCACAAGCGGCGGAGCAUGUGGAUUAAUUCGAUGCAACGCGAAGAACCUUACCUGGGCUUGACAUAUACAGGAUCGCGCCAGAGAUGGUGUCUCCCUUGUGGCUUGUAUACAGGUGGUGCAUGGUUGUCGUCAGCUCGUGUCGUGAGAUGUUGGGUUAAGUCCCGCAACGAGCGCAACCCUUGUCUUAUGUUGCCAGCACGUUGUGGUGGGGACUCGUAAGAAACUGCCGGGGUUAACUCGGAGGAAGGUGGGGAUGACGUCAAAUCAUCAUGCCCCUUAUGUCCAGGGCUUCACACAUGCUACAAUGGUCGGUACAGUGGGUUGCCAGUCCGUGAGGGCGAGCUAAUCCCGCAAAGCCGGUCUCAGUUCGGAUCGGGGUCUGCAACUCGACCCCGUGAAGUCGGAGUCGCUAGUAAUCGCAGAUCAGCAACGCUGCGGUGAAUACGUUCCCGGGCCU